Molecule: long non-coding RNA, 1286 nt
Filed under: Spirodela polyrhiza (greater duckweed)
Lineage: Eukaryota; Viridiplantae; Streptophyta; Magnoliopsida; Alismatales; Araceae
Description: long non-coding RNA (SPOL_LNC000278)
Source: RNAcentral
AGAUGCUGCGGUAGUCCUUGCGGAUGGCCCAGAGGACCUCGGCGCAUUUCCUCAUGGGGGGCCUGUCGCGCCUGGUCGGGGCGAGGCACUGCAGCGCCAGCUCGAAGACCUUCUCCAGCGCGAAGCUCGUCGCCGGCGUCGGCGGCAGGUUCGGAUCCAGCGACUUGAGCGCGUUCCCCUCCGUAAACCUCUUCAUCGCCUGCAACCAACCCAUCAAGAUUUCCCCUUUUUUCUUAGCAGCCCUUUCCUUCUUCUUCCUCUUCUUCUUCUUCUUCUCGAUCUGAUCCAGAAGAAGAAAUGGAGGAGGAGAGGAGCGGAGAUGGGGGAGGGCGCUGACCCAGGUGGAGGUUAUCCGCUCUCUGAUCUCCCUCUUCGUCUCGAUGGGCCUCCUCCCGGUCAUGAGCUCCACCAGCAGGACGCCGAAGGAGUAGACGUCGCUCUUCUCGGUGAGCUGGUAGGUGCGGAGGUACUCCGGGUCGAGGUAGCCGGCGGUGCCCUUGACCUGCGUCGAGAUGUGGGUGACGCCGGCGUCCACGGGGGUCAUGCGGGCGAAGCCGAAGUCGGCCACCUUCGCCCGCAGGCUGUCAGUGAGGAGGAUGUUCGACGAUUUGAUGUCUCGGUGGAUGAUCGGGUCGUCUUGCAGGAAAAAGGAUGGAGGAGGAGGACGAUCAGAAGCCGGCGGCGGAGGAGCAGCAGCAGAGCUCGUCGGAGGAGGAGGAGGAAGGGGGGGAGAGAGAGAGAGAGAGACGGCGGCCUACCGGCGUACAUGUGGAGGUAGGUGACGGCGUGUGCGACGUCGAUGGCGAUGUCCAGCCGGGAGGUGAGAUCGGGAGGGUCCCCCCGCAGGCCUGCGGCGGUCGCCAUGGAAGAAGCAGAUCAGUUCGAUGGUCAGCUGCUGAAGCCCAACUCGAGGGCGACCGGAGGUGAUCCGUCGGUCCAUCUCCACCUGAACCAGAGGGUCUGGAGCAUCCUCUCGCGGUGCUGGAUUGGGAAAUGGGGAGGGAGAACCAGAGCGGCGGCGAUGGAGGGAGGAGGUGGGGGCGGGGGGGAACUCACCGUCGAGAUGCUCCCGGAGGGUCCCGUUGGGGACGUACUCGAUGACGACGACCCUCUCGUCCUCGUGCUCCAGGUAUCCGUAGAAUCUGACCAGGUUCAGGUGCUCGAUGCAGGCCAGGAUCUGGAUCUCGCUCUUGAAUUCCACCCCGAGGUGCUUGUCGUGGAUGCUCUGCGAGAAGAGGAAGAGGAAGAAGAAAGAGAAGAAGAAUCCUAAGUCAGUCUCGCCCCCC